AUGAACGCUGGCGGCGUGCUUAACACAUGCAAGUCGAACGAAGCACUUUAUUUGAUUUCCUUCGGGACUGAUUAUUUUGUGACUGAGUGGCGGACGGGUGAGUAACGCGUGGGUAACCUGCCUUGUACAGGGGGAUAACAGUUGGAAACGGCUGCUAAUACCGCAUAAGCGCACAGCAUCGCAUGAUGCAGUGUGAAAAACUCCGGUGGUAUAAGAUGGACCCGCGUUGGAUUAGCUAGUUGGUGAGGUAACGGCCCACCAAGGCGACGAUCCAUAGCCGACCUGAGAGGGUGGCCGGCCACAUUGGGACUGAGACACGGCCCAAACUCCUACGGGAGGCAGCAGUGGGGAAUAUUGCACAAUGGGCGAAAGCCUGAUGCAGCGACGCCGCGUGAGCGAAGAAGUAUUUCGGUAUGUAAAGCUCUAUCAGCAGGGAAGAUAAUGACGGUACCUGACUAAGAAGCAUCGGCUAAAUACGUG
Molecule: ribosomal RNA, 480 nt
Filed under: uncultured bacterium
Lineage: Bacteria
Description: partial 16S ribosomal RNA
Rfam family: Bacterial small subunit ribosomal RNA
Source: RNAcentral